Molecule: ribosomal RNA, 253 nt
Filed under: uncultured bacterium
Lineage: Bacteria
Description: partial 16S ribosomal RNA
Rfam family: Bacterial small subunit ribosomal RNA
Source: RNAcentral
CACGUAGGGAGCAAGCGUUGUCCGGAAUCAUUGGGCGUAAAGAGCGCGUAGGCGGCCGUGUAAGUCCGUUCUGAAAGUCGGAGGCUCAACCUCCGAAAGCGGAUGGAUACUGCACGGCUAGAGUCCGGAAGAGGCGAGUGGAAUUCCUGGUGUAGCGGUGGAAUGCGCAGAUAUCAGGAGGAACACCAACGGCGAAGGCAGCUCGCUGGGACGGUACUGACGCUGAGGCGCGAAAGCGUGGGGAGCAAACAGG